Molecule: small nucleolar RNA, 74 nt
Organism: Delphinapterus leucas (beluga whale)
Lineage: Eukaryota; Metazoa; Chordata; Mammalia; Artiodactyla; Monodontidae
Product: small nucleolar RNA SNORD113/SNORD114 family
Source: Ensembl
CAUGACAUCGAUGACUGCUGGUGACAUAUGAGUAGUGGGUGAUGAAAAUAAGUGUCUGAAAUGCUGAGACCCAA